RNAcentral lists this ribosomal RNA (310 nucleotides) under uncultured bacterium. Its description in RNAcentral is "bacterial SSU rRNA". It matches the Rfam family "Bacterial small subunit ribosomal RNA", at positions 28 to 334 of the family's 1533-position model. The record is from RNAcentral.
GACGAACGCUGGCGGCGUGCCUAACACAUGCAAGUCGAACGGAGUUGAGGGAGCUUGCUUCUUCAACUUAGUGGCGAACGGGUGAGUAACGCGUGAGAAACCUGCCUCUCAGUGGGGGACAACAGUUGGAAACGACUGCUAAUACCGCAUAACACUUUAGUACCGCAUGGUACAGAAGUCAAAGCUUUAUGUGCUGAGAGAUGGUCUCGCGUCUGAUUAGAUAGUUGGUGAGGUAACGGCUCACCAAGUCGACGAUCAGUAGCCGGUCUGAGAGGAUGAACGGCCACAUUGGGACUGAGAUACGGCCCAG